Oreochromis aureus is the source of this 415-nucleotide long non-coding RNA. NCBI's taxonomy places the organism in Eukaryota, Metazoa, Chordata, Actinopteri, Cichliformes, Cichlidae. The record is from Ensembl.
GGAGUAUUAUGUUUUUGUUGCUGCAAGCGCUUUUUAUGCAGUUUUUGCAAAGCUAUAUGUGGAAGAAAACCGUGACCUAGGACAAGCUGAUGGCAUAAGAUGCCUUCUAGAUUCCCUGCCAUCUGGAGUUCUGUGGAUGUGUGUGAGUGAGCGUGAGUAUUUUGGAGUGGACAUUCAGAGUGAGUUGUGGAUUAAGUUGAAGAGGAGCGUGUGUACCCCCCGCCUUGGACCUUCCCUUCGGACCCCCCUCCACUCCCUGGAACUCUGUGUUAUCGGUCUCACUGUAUAUAUGUAUAUAUUCUCACUUGGUGCCACAUCGUAAAUGAACCUUCACCUUCUCUCUAAACUUCAGAGUCCUGCGACCAGUAGUAAAGUUGCAGAACAACAGAGGAAACAACAAAUACUCAUACACCAG